Molecule: ribosomal RNA, 253 nt
Filed under: uncultured bacterium
Lineage: Bacteria
Description: partial 16S ribosomal RNA
Rfam family: Bacterial small subunit ribosomal RNA
Source: RNAcentral
UACGUAGGGUGCGAGCGUUGUCCGGAAUUAUUGGGCGUAAAGAGCUUGUAGGCGGUUUGUUGCGUCUGCUGUGAAAAUCCGGGGCUCAACCCCGGACUUGCAGUGGGUACGGGCAGACUAGAGUGUGGUAGGGGAGACUGGAAUUCCUGGUGUAGCGGUGGAAUGCGCAGAUAUCAGGAGGAACACCAAUGGCGAAGGCAGAUCUCUGGGCCGUAACUGACGCUGAGGAGCGAAAGCAUGGGGAGCGAACAGG